AGCAUAUCAAUAAGCGGAGGAAAAGAAACCAACAGGGAUUGCCCUAGUAACGGCGAGUGAAGCGGCAACAGCUCAAAUUUGAAAUCUGGCCUUGGCCCGAGUUGUAAUUUGUAGAGGAUGCUUUUGGUUAGGUGCCUUCUGAGUUCCCUGGAACGGGACGCCAGAGAGGGUGAGAGCCCCGUAUAGUCGGCCACCGAUCCUUUGUAAAGCUCCUUCGACGAGUCGAGUAGUUUGGGAAUGCUGCUCAAAAUGGGAGGUAUAUCUCUUCUAAAGCUAAAUAUUGGCCAGAGACCGAUAGCGCACAAGUAGAGUGAUCGAAAGAUGAAAAGCACUUUGAAAAGAGGGUUAAAUAGCACGUGAAAUUGUUGAAAGGGAAGCGCUUGUGACCAGACUUGUGCCGGGCUGAUCAUCCAGUGUUCUCACUGGUGCACUCGACCCGGCUCAGGCCAGCGUCGGUUCUCGUAGGGGGAUAAAAGCUUUGGGAACGUGGCACCUUCGGGUGUGUUAUAGCCCGCUGCUUAAUACCCUUGUGGGGACCGAGGUUCGCGCUCUGCAAGGACGCUGGCAUAAUGGUCAUCAGCGACCCGUCU
RNAcentral lists this ribosomal RNA (590 nucleotides) under uncultured fungus. RNAcentral describes it as "eukaryotic LSU rRNA". It matches the Rfam family "Eukaryotic large subunit ribosomal RNA", at positions 37 to 654 of the family's 3401-position model. The record is from RNAcentral. Lineage: Eukaryota; Fungi.